UCUGGUGACUAUAGCAAGGAGGUCACACCUGUUCCCAUGCCGAACACAGAAGUUAAGCUCUUAGCGUCGAUGGUAGUCGAACUUACGUUCCGCUAGAGUAGAACGUUGCCAGGC
RNAcentral lists this ribosomal RNA (114 nucleotides) under Staphylococcus aureus. Lineage: Bacteria; Bacillati; Bacillota; Bacilli; Caryophanales; Staphylococcaceae. The record is from RNAcentral.